Molecule: ribosomal RNA, 796 nt
Filed under: uncultured Actinomycetes bacterium
Lineage: Bacteria; Bacillati; Actinomycetota; Actinomycetes
Description: bacterial SSU rRNA
Rfam family: Bacterial small subunit ribosomal RNA
Source: RNAcentral
AGAGUUUGAUCCUGGCUCAGGACGAACGCUGGCGGCGUGCCUAACACAUGCAAGUCGAACGGGACCGGGGGCAACUCCGGUUCAGUGGCGGACGGGUGCGUAACACGUGAGGAACAUGACCUUCGGCGGGGGAUAGCCGGCCCAACGGCCGGGUAAUACCGCGUACGACCUUUCGGGGACAUCCCUGGAUGGUGAAAGCAGCAAUGCGCCGAUCGAGGAUGAGCCCGCGGCGGAUUAGCUUGUUGGUGAGGUAACGGCUCACCAAGGCGACGAUCCGUAGCUGGUCUGAGAGGACGAUCAGCCACACUGGGACUGAGACACGGCCCAGACUCCUACGGGAGGCAGCAGUGGGGAAUCUUGCGCAAUGGGCGAAAGCCUGACGCAGCGACGCCGCGUGGGGGAAGAAGGCCUUCGGGUUGUAAACCUCUUUCAGCAGGGACGAAGCCACUCGGGUGAAUAGCCCAGAGGGUGACGGUACCUGCAGAAGAAGCCCCGGCUAACUACGUGCCAGCAGCCGCGGUAAUACGUAGGGGGCAAGCGUUGUCCGGAUUUAUUGGGCGUAAAGAGCGUGUAGGCGGCCGCACAGGUCCGUUGUGAAAACUGGAGGCUUAACCUUCAGACGUCGAUGGAAACCGUGCGGCUAGAGUCCGGAAGAGGAGAAUGGAAUUCCUGGUGUAGCGGUGAAAUGCGCAGAUAUCAGGAAGAACACCCGUGGCUAAGGCGGUUCUCUAGUACGGUACUGACGCUGAGACGCGAAAGCGUGGGGAGCGAACAGGAUUAGAUACCCCCGUAGUCC